RNAcentral lists this ribosomal RNA (371 nucleotides) under Lacronia ceci. Its description in RNAcentral is "partial large subunit ribosomal RNA". The stretch from base 226 to 371 matches the Rfam family "Bacterial large subunit ribosomal RNA", at positions 2473 to 2620 of the family's 2925-position model. The record is from RNAcentral. Lineage: Eukaryota; Metazoa; Arthropoda; Arachnida; Opiliones; Gonyleptidae.
UUUUUUAAUUGAAAACUGGAAUGAAAGGUAGAAACUAAAAAGAAAGUUUUAUUUUAUAAGUUUGAAUUUUAAUUAAAAGUAAAAAUGCUUUUAUAUAAUCUUGGGACGAGAAGACCCUAGAAGCUUAAAAUUUUUUAAUUUUUGAUUGGGGUAAUUAUUUUGAAGAAGUAGAUUUUUAAUUAAUGUUUUUAUGUAAGGUUUAUAGUUAAAAUAAGUUACUCUAGGGAUAACAGCGUAAUUUAAUUAACAAGUUCUUAUUAAAAAUUAAGUUUGCGACCUCGAUGUUGAAUUAAUGUUAUUUUUGGUGAAGAAGCUAAAACGUAAAGUCUGUUCGACUUUUAGUUUAUUACGUGAUCUGAGUUCAGACCGGA